RNAcentral lists this ribosomal RNA (254 nucleotides) under uncultured bacterium. RNAcentral describes it as "partial 16S ribosomal RNA". It matches the Rfam family "Bacterial small subunit ribosomal RNA", at positions 524 to 776 of the family's 1533-position model. The record is from RNAcentral.
UACGUAGGGUGCGAGCGUUGUCCGGAAUUAUUGGGCGUAAAGAGCUCGUAGGCGGUGUGUCACGUCGAUCGUGAAAACUUACAGCUUAACCCCGGGCGUGCAGUGGAUACGGGCUGGCUGGAGGCAGGCAGGGGAGAAUGGAAUUCCCGGUGUAGCGGUGAAAUGCGCAGAUAUCGGGAGGAACACCGGUGGCGAAGGCGGUUCUCUGGGCCUGUUCUUGACGCUGAGGCGCGAAAGCUAGGGGAGCAAACGGG